UGGCUCAGGAUGAACGCUGGCGGCGUGCUUAACACAUGCAAGUCGAGCGAUGAAGUUUCCUUCGGGAAACGGAUUAGCGGCGGACGGGUGAGUAACACGUGGGUAACCUGCCUAUCAGAGGGGGAUAACAUUCGGAAACGGAUGCUAAAACCGCAUAGGUCCUUUAACCGCAUGGUUGAAGGAGGAAAAGAGGCGCAAGCUUCUGCUGAUGGAUGGACCCGCGGUGCAUUAGCUAGUUGGUGAGGUAACGGCUCACCAAGGCCGUGAUGCAUAGCCGACCUGAGAGGGUGAUCGGCCACAUUGGGACUGAGACACGGUCCAAACUCCUACGGGAGGCAGCAGUGAGGAAUAUUGGUCAAUGGUCGGCAGACUGAACCAGCCAAGUCGCGUGAGGGAAGACGGCCCUACGGGUUGUAAACCUCUUUUGUCGGAGAGUAAAGUACGCUACGUGUAGUGUAUUGCAAGUAUCCGAAGAAAAAGCAUCGGCUAACUCCGUGCCAGCAGCCGCGGUAAUACGGAGGAUGCAAGCGUUAUCCGGAUUUAUUGGGUUUAAAGGGUGCGUAGGCGGCACGCCAAGUCAGCGGUGAAAUUUCCGGGCUCAACCCGGAGUGUGCCGUUGAAACUGGCGAGCUAGAGUACACAAGAGGCAGGCGGAAUGCGUGGUGUAGCGGUGAAAUGCAUAGAUAUCACGCAGAACCCCGAUUGCGAAGGCAGCCUGCUAGGGUGAAACAGACGCUGAGGCACGAAAGCGUGGGUAUCGAACAGGAUUAGAUACCCUGGUAGUCCACGCAGUAAACGAUGAAUACUAACUGUUUGCGAUACAAUGUAAGCGGUACAGCGAAAGCGUUAAGUAUUCCACCUGGGGAGUACGCCGGCAACGGUGAAACUCAAAGGAAUUGACGGGGGCCCGCACAAGCGGAGGAACAUGUGGUUUAAUUCGAUGAUACGCGAGGAACCUUACCCGGGCUCAAACGCAGGGGGAAUAUAUAUGAAAGUAUAUAGCUAGCAAUAGUCACCUGCGAGGUGCUGCAUGGUUGUCGUCAGCUCGUGCCGUGAGGUGUCGGCUUAAGUGCCAUAACGAGCGCAACCCCUAUCGACAGUUACUAACGGGUCAAGCCGAGGACUCUGUCGAGACUGCCGGCGCAAGCCGCGAGGAAGGUGGGGAUGACGUCAAAUCAGCACGGCCCUUACGUCCGGGGCGACACACGUGUUACAAUGGCAGGUACAGAAGGCAGCCAGUCAGCAAUGACGCGCGAAUCCCGAAAACCUGUCUCAGUUCGGAUUGGAGUCUGCAACCCGACUCCAUGAAGCUGGAUUCGCUAGUAAUCGCGCAUCAGCCAUGGCGCGGUGAAUACGUUCCCGGGCCUUGUACACACCGCCCGUCAAGCCAUGGAAGCCGGGAGUACCUGAAGCAUGCAACCGCAAGGAGCGUACGAAGGUAAUACCGGUAA
This 1451-nucleotide ribosomal RNA is filed under the name uncultured organism. RNAcentral's name for it is "SSU rRNA". It matches the Rfam family "Bacterial small subunit ribosomal RNA". The record is from RNAcentral.